RNAcentral lists this ribosomal RNA (459 nucleotides) under uncultured bacterium. RNAcentral describes it as "partial 16S ribosomal RNA". It matches the Rfam family "Bacterial small subunit ribosomal RNA", at positions 338 to 795 of the family's 1533-position model. The record is from RNAcentral.
CCUACGGGUGGCAGCAGUGAGGAAUAUUGGUCAAUGGGCGCGAGCCUGAACCAGCCAAGUCGCGUGAGGGAAGACGGUCCUCUGGAUUGUAAACCUCUUUUGUCGGGGAGCAAAGGGCGCCACGUGUGGCGUUUUGCGAGUACCUGAAGAAACAGCAUCGGCUAACUCCGUGCCAGCAGCCGCGGUAAUACGGGGGAUGCGAGCGUUAUCCGGAUUUAUUGGGUUUAAAGGGUGCGUAGGCGGAAUGCCAAGUCAGCGGUAAAAUCGCGGGGCUCAACCUCGCUCCGCCGUUGAAACUGGCGUUCUUGAGUGGGCGAGAAGUAUGCGGAAUGCGUGGUGUAGCGGUGAAAUGCUUAGAGAUCAUACAGAACACCGAUUGCGAAGGCAGCUUACCAAGCUACUUCUGACGUUGAGGCACGAAAGCGUGGGGAGCAAACAGGAUUAGAUACCCUGGUAGUC